This 462-nucleotide ribosomal RNA is filed under the name uncultured bacterium. Its description in RNAcentral is "partial 16S ribosomal RNA". It matches the Rfam family "Bacterial small subunit ribosomal RNA", at positions 28 to 507 of the family's 1533-position model. The record is from RNAcentral.
GACGAACGCUGGCGGCGUGCUUAACACAUGCAAGUCGAGCGGUAAGGCCUUUCGGGGUCCACGAGCGGCGAACGGGUGGGUAACACGGGGGUGAUCUGCCCUGCACUUCGGGAUAAGCCUGGGAAACUGGGUCUAAUACCGGGUAUGAACUCCUAUCGCCUUGUGGGUGGUGGCAAGAUUUAUCGGUGCCGGAUGGGCCCGCGGCCUAUCAGCUUGGUGGUGGGGUAAUGGCCGGCCAAGGCGACGACUGGUAGCCGACCGGAGAGGGUGACCGGCCACCCUGGGCCUGAGACACGGCCCAGACUCCUACGGGAGGCAGCAGUGGGGAGUAUUGCACAAUGGGCGCAAGCCUGAUGCAGCGACGCCGCGGGAGUGAUGCCGGCCUUUGGGUUGUAAACCUCUUUCAGCAGGGACGAAGCGCAAGUGACGGUACCUGCAGAAGAAGCACCGGCUAACUACGUG